RNAcentral lists this ribosomal RNA (461 nucleotides) under uncultured bacterium. Its description in RNAcentral is "partial 16S ribosomal RNA". It matches the Rfam family "Bacterial small subunit ribosomal RNA", at positions 338 to 795 of the family's 1533-position model. The record is from RNAcentral.
CCUACGGGUGGCUGCAGUGAGGAAUAUUGGUCAAUGGGCGGGAGCCUGAACCAGCCAAGUCGCGUGAGGGAAGACGGUCCUACGGAUUGUAAACCUCUUUUGCCGGGGAGCAACGGGGUCCUUGCGAGGGCCCGAUGAGAGUACCCGGAGAAAAAGCAUCGGCUAACUCCGUGCCAGCAGCCGCGGUAAUACGGAGGAUGCGAGCGUUAUCCGGAUUUAUUGGGUUUAAAGGGAGCGUAGGUGGAUUGUUAAGUCAGUUGUGAAAGUUUGCGGCUCAACCGUAAAAUUGCAGUUGAAACUGGCAGUCUUGAGUACAGUAGAGGUGGGCGGAAUUCGUGGUGUAGCGGUGAAAUGCUUAGAUAUCACGAAGAACUCCGAUUGCGAAGGCAGCUCACUGGACUGCAACUGACACUGAGGCUCGAAAGUGUGGGUAUCAAACAGGAUUAGAUACCCCGGUAGUC